AGUGGACGCUGGCGGUAGGCCUAACACAUGCAAGUCGAACGGCAGCACAGUAAGAGCUUGCUCUUACGGGUGGCGAGUGGCGGACGGGUGAGGAAUACAUCGGAAUCUACUUUUUCGUGGGGGAUAACGUAGGGAAACUUACGCUAAUACCGCAUACGACCUACGGGUGAAAGCAGGGGAUCUUCGGACCUUGCGCGAUUGAAUGAGCCGAUGUCGGAUUAGCUAGUUGGCGGGGUAAAGGCCCACCAAGGCGACGAUCCGUAGCUGGUCUGAGAGGAUGAUCAGCCACACUGGAACUGAGACACGGUCCAGACUCCUACGGGAGGCAGCAGUGGGGAAUAUUGGACAAUGGGCGCAAGCCUGAUCCAGCCAUACCGCGUGGGUGAAGAAGGCCUUCGGGUUGUAAAGCCCUUUUGUUGGGAAAGAAAAGCAGCAGGUUAAUACCCCGCUGCUCUGACGGUACCCAAAGAAUAAGCACCGGCUAACUUCGUG
Molecule: ribosomal RNA, 492 nt
Filed under: uncultured bacterium
Lineage: Bacteria
Description: partial 16S ribosomal RNA
Rfam family: Bacterial small subunit ribosomal RNA
Source: RNAcentral